Non-coding RNA from Pelobates cultripes (western spadefoot toad), 204 nucleotides. Lineage: Eukaryota; Metazoa; Chordata; Amphibia; Anura; Pelobatidae. The record is from the annotation of a GenBank genome assembly.
GUGAAAUGGCUACGUAGAAAGUGUCAAAACAACCCUAGGUAAAUAGCCUGUGAUGUCUACUUUAUAUAAAUAUAUACUUUUGUGUGGCAAUUUUGUUUUCUUUUAUGGCUAUUAAGCUUACAAGACAAACAUACCAAAUUCUAAAAUCGCUCCGCAUUAAAGGUUUAGUUUACUCCUUGUGCUUUGUGACCUGUAACUACCAAA